CUUUCUUUCUUCUUCUUUCUUUCUUUCUUUCUUUCUCUCUUUCUUUGCCAUACCCACAGCCUGUGGAAGUUCCCAGGCCAAGAAUUGAAUCUGUACUGCAGUUGAGACUUCCAAGGAGCCCAUAUUUUGAUGCCAAAGAGAACUUACCAGCUCUGGAUGGGCUGGCCUUUAAGUGUACACAGUUGUUUGUUUGUUUGUUUGUUUGUUUUUUCACAUUUACAAGCACAGACAACUUAGUAUUUUUCACAUUUUUAACUAAACUGGUUGGAAAACCAAACCUCUUCUCCCAAAGCAAAGAGGGUACAGCUCUGCUCUGGCCUGUAAUGGGAAGUCUGUUCAACCCAAUCUGAUAUACAAAGGCAGGCAUAUGCCUUAGGGUAUCCUUUAUUGUGAACCCCUCAUUUUCUAUCCUAUAUCACCCUCCUUGGCACAGGGCUUCUUGUUUCUAGAAUAAAGGGUUUGACUAUGAUUCCAAAACCUCCCUUAAUAGCUCCUUGUAGAAGCUCUCCAUUAAACGGCACCCCACGAUCCACUGCCUAGUCCCAGAUUCCCUUGGACAGAGAAUCCUUCAUAAUUCUUCACUGAGACCACAGGCUCCAAUUUACUUUGAUAGAUACCCAUUCGAGGUUAGGUUUGUCAUUCUUGCCCAUCCUCUGUAGCAAUUUAGAAAAAUAGAUAACAUGUAAAGAAACAUAAAUCUGAGAGUCAGAGAAGAAAAUUGAGAUGUCAAAGGAGUAUUUCUAUCUGAAUAUUGCUGAAUACUCGACUUUCAAGGAAAGGUUUCCAAUUCUUUGCCAUAGUCAAUGCACACGUGUAAACAUAUGACCUUAUAAAAUAUCUGGGAGAUGCUGAGCAUUCACCGUCCAGAUUAUUUUUCCAUGGUUUUCCAAAACUCAGAAGACAAUGAUUAGGAUGUGGAGCUCUGGAAAUGAAUGAGCAGAAUCAAGGUUCAUCUACAGGAUAUGGGAAAGAACAGAGAGAAAGCACUUUUCCUCUUUAAGAUCAGGAGCCUAGUAGGGAGUACCUACCAGGGAUUGUCAUCCUCAACACUUCUCCAUUUCCAGACUCAUUUCCAGGCCUGUCUUAUCUGAUGUUCACUGGUGUUCCUUCUCUCUAUUGCUCAUAAAUUAUUUUUCAUAAUUUAUGGUUCGUUUUAUACUUAUUUAGCCUGGACAUUUGUAAGCUUCUUGAAGUAGAAUUUUUUUGUUUAACUCCGAUUUUUUCUAAAUAGGUUUAGGAGUUCCUGCUGUGGCACAGUGGUUUAAGAAUCUGACUGCAGCAGCUCAGGUACCUGGGGAGGCUUGGGUUCCAUCCCUAGCCUGGCACAGCGGGUUAAAAGGAUCUGGCAUGGCAGAAGCUAUGGCACAGAUCAUAACUCUGGCUUGGAUUCAUUCCCAGGCCCAGGAACUUCCAUAUGCUAUGGACGUGGCCAUUAAAAAAAAAAAAGAAAAAAAGAAAAAAAGAAGAAGGAAAACAGGUUUAGGUUUAAAUUUAGAAGGAAUCUGACAAAAUGCUUGGAAUUAAAGACUAUACCAUACUAUCUAGGCUGUUUUUAAUAAAUGAUUAGAAUUAGAACAAAGAGAAACUGAGCCCCCAAACAAGGAAUCUUUCAAAAAUCAUUAUCUUACAUUCAAAAUACUCAGGAUAUGUAAGUGCAUACACUUCAUGUGAAAGUUUAGAGAGUCUGUUACUGUGGUAAUGGUUAAUGUGAAUUUUCGAGGAGAGAGGCCACGGAGGUUUAAAUGCUGUUAUGUAUCUAUUUUAGAACAAUACACAGAGCUUCUUAUAUUGAAAUCCCAUUGUAUUUCCAAAUUCAACUGUGUUAAACUAACUUAGUAUUUGCAAACUUAAUCCCAAUAAAGAUUAUUUUAAGCAUGUUGAAAACGUGCCCAACAACCAUAGUAAUAAAUAACACUUAGAAUUAAUGAAGCUACUUUGUCUAAACACAUCAAAGUGCCUUUAAACACUGACUCCAUUCCUUCUAUUUUAUAUAAUAAAUGGUCUUGUAGGUUUUUAUAUUUUUAUGUAUUAAUCUUUCCAAACUGCAACUGAUAUGAGAAAAACCUCAAAAACACUGCACUUUAUAUCUUUUUCAUUUCUUGGCAAAUUGGAGCUUUGGUCCAGUACAGGUGAGUUAGUUUGACUGUUGUUUCAUAUUGAAUUAGAAAAAGAGAAAUCGUGUGUGACCUUGUUCAUUGUUUUAUCUCCAGUACCUUAUACAGCCUCUAAUAAAAGAACAUAUACUCUAAUUAAAGAACAUUUUUUUUUCAAUGAAAGAAUGAAUGAAUGAAGUUAAGCAUAGCACACAGGGAUAAAAGUUUUACAGUGAAGACUCAAGAAAGAUAAGAGAAAGCAAAUCUAGGCCUAAGACUUUCUGCAAGAAGGAGAUGAGAAGAAGUGGCAGGACUGACCAAGUGAGAGGUGAUAUUUCUGGAGUUAUAAACUCAAAAAGGCAUUGAACAUCUGGAUAGAGAAGCAGAUUCAAGAAACAAAUUAUUAUUAUUAUUUUCUUUAUAGGUCUGCACCUGUGGCACAUGGAAGUUCCCAGGCUAGAGGUUGAAUCUGAGCCACCCCUGCUGGCCUAUGUCACAGCCACAGCAACACAGGAUCCAAGCCAUGUCUGCGACCUAUACUACUGCUCAUGGCUAGGCCAGAUCCUUAACCCACUGAGCAAGGCCAGGGAUUGAACCCCCAUCCUCAUGGAUUCUAGUCGGGCUCAUUACCGCUGAUCCACAAUAGGAACUUCCAAUUCUUGAUAUAUAUAUAUAUAUAUUAUCAGUCCCAAAGCAAGAAGGAUUUGUAGAAAAGUUUAUUAAAACUUGGUAAAUGGGCUCUUCUGCAAGGUUUGUUUUAACAAGAGAUAUUUAGUGUAAAUUGAUAAUACACACUAUGCAAGAUGUGAACACAUGGUCUUUCUUGAUAUCUGUAACAUGAUUAUAGCCUAAUUUUAUCAAAUGUAGAAAUAUUGACGAGGCCGCCACAGGCUUGCUUAAUUCAGCUACCUAUAUCUUCCAGAGUCAACAAGUUCGUCAAAUUAAAUAUUUCUAUCAAGAAGUACUCUAGAAAACUUUUUGUAUGACAAGAAGGGGCCUGUGAAUGAUUGUUUUAUGCUCUACUGUUUUUAACAAACAUACACUAUGCAUUUCAUUUUUUUCAUAUCUAAAUUUCUAUAGAAAAGGGCUUCAGAGCGGGGCUGUGGAACACACAAGGCCUUUUUUUUUUAAACCUGCCCAGCUUGCUAACACUAUCUUUUCUGUGCAAUAUAUUCUCUUUUCUCAUCAUGCUCAUCUUGCCUUUCCUUCUCCUUUCUUGCCCCCUGAAAUCCCGCUAAUACUUCAAGGUCCAACUAAAAUGUUACCUAUCCCUAUAGAGACUGACUUGCUUCAAAGAGUCAGAAGUCCUGCCGUCUGCAGCCUUCACUCACCACGCUCUUUGCUUUACAUCCCAACAACCCUUUCCCUAUCAGUUCAUGAUCCCUUUGAUAGCAGGGGGCAACUCUUUUUCAUUUUUGUCUCUCCAGAACCUGAAUAUUGCCGAUGCUCAAUAAAUACUGCAUGGACAAGUUGUUGAGUAAGUGAGAAUAGAUACUCUGAAUGAGGGAUAUGUCUUCUCUGUAUGAGAAGGAAACCCAAACACACUGAGCCAUGGGGAGAAUGAUUAAAACUGUGAAGUGAAUGUGAAAUCGACAAACCAAAAAACAAGGAUUCUUGAGAACCCAGUCCUGGCAUGUAGUAAGAGGUUAGUACAUGUCCGUUCUCCAUAAUCUAAACUUUAUUUUAGCUUCAUAUUUAGUAACAAUUUUAAUGAUUUUUCUCAUAUCAUUAUUUUAGGAUAUAUUCCUAUUUAAUAAAAACAGAUAUAAUUAGGAUAAAAUGCCCAUCCUUUAAGCCAAUGGACCCUCCCUAACACACAAGAAUCCCCUUUAACAAUCAAGAAAAAGCAACUUAAUGAAUAGCAUUUUAACACUGGGGAAGUUUGUGCAAUUCUACAGUUUAGUCCCUGGAGAUCAGAUCUCCAUUACAGGGCAAAAUUAUCUUUUGAGAGAAAAGUGUAGUUUCUGCAGCUGUGUGUGUUAGUAGAUGUUUUUGAACUAUAAGAUCAGGCUUCAUAAAUAUAUCCCCCUGUUCUUUCCUGUGCUGUGUUUAUUCUGUUUGCUCAAGCCAAGCGCUAUAACAUAAAAGGAGGCUUUCUCAAGAGGCUGAAUUAGAAAGUCAUGCAUCUAAGUGUACAGAACAUUCAGUCUGCAAAGAACAGAAUCAAACAUCUGAAGAUGCAGUUUUAUUUCUCAGCUAAUAACAUUUCCAAGUUGCCAGCCUACCCUUCUCGAACAGAACUGGUUCCAUAAACGGAGGAGAGUAAUUCUAAGAAAUUCAGAGGGGUUAAUGGGGGAUGUCCAGGGGUAUCCCGCCUAACUGGCCUCCAGGCUGAAAAUCAAGUUUGGAGGCAGUACAGGCCACCUCCUUUGAUCCUACAAAACACUUCCCUUCAGUCAUAAAAGCAGAGAAGGAUGAGUUAGGAAAACCAAAUCAAAGAUUAUGAAUGUCUAUAAGUCAGUGAAUGGUGGGGAGGGAAGUGAAAAUUAGGGGGUCGGAUUUUCAGAAAUGCUAUUGAGAUUUAAAUUUAAAUGUGCUAGAAUGUCCCAUAAAGGCAGUUAAAGGUUGGGAGAAGAGCUAAGAAACUAAGUUCUAUAAAACUACAGAUCUUCAAAAGAAAAGUGAGAAUAGGAGAAAAUAAAAUUUUGAGAGUCUUGAACUGCCUUAGAGCCAUGUGUAGUUCAGGGACGCUAAGGAGUCACAAGGUCAAAACUAGUUUCAUAAUUAUACUAGGACACUCUAUGCUCUCUCACAACUAUUCUGCCAUAUUUGUGGAAAAUAUACACUGAUGUUUUCC
This 4890-nucleotide long non-coding RNA is filed under the name Sus scrofa (pig). Its description in RNAcentral is "lncRNA (ENSSSCG00040038456.1)". The record is from RNAcentral. Lineage: Eukaryota; Metazoa; Chordata; Mammalia; Artiodactyla; Suidae.